This 253-nucleotide ribosomal RNA is filed under the name uncultured bacterium. RNAcentral describes it as "partial 16S ribosomal RNA". It matches the Rfam family "Bacterial small subunit ribosomal RNA", at positions 524 to 776 of the family's 1533-position model. The record is from RNAcentral.
UACGUAGGUGGCAAGCGUUGUCCGGAAUUAUUGGGCGUAAAGCGCGCGCAGGCGGUCCUUUAAGUCUGAUGUGAAAGCCCACGGCUCAACCGUGGAGGGUCAUUGGAAACUGGGGGACUUGAGUACAGAAGAGAAGAGUGGAAUUCCACGUGUAGCGGUGAAAUGCGUAGAGAUGUGGAGGAACACCAGUGGCGAAGGCGACUCUUUGGUCUGUAACUGACGCUGAGGCGCGAAAGUGUGGGGAUCAAACAGG